GUGGAUUAGUGGCGAACGGGUGAGUAACACGUGGGUGAUCUGCCCUGCACUCUGGGAUAAGCCUGGGAAACUGGGUCUAAUACCGGAUAUGACCUCUUGCUGCAUGGCGAGGGGUGGAAAGUUUUUCGGUGCAGGAUGAGCCCGCGGCCUAUCAGCUUGUUGGUGGGGUAAUGGCCUACCAAGGCGACGACGGGUAGCCGGCCUGAGAGGGCGACCGGCCACACUGGGACUGAGACACGGCCCAGACUCCUACGGGAGGCAGCAGUGGGGAAUAUUGCACAAUGGGCGAAAGCCUGAUGCAGCGACGCCGCGUGAGGGAUGACGGCCUUCGGGUUGUAAACCUCUUUCAGCAGGGACGAAGCGAAAGUGACGGUACCUGCAGAAGAAGCACCGGCCAACUACGUGCCAGCAGCCGCGGUAAUACGUAGGGUGCGAGCGUUGUCCGGAAUUACUGGGCGUAAAGAGCUCGUAGGCGGUUUGUCGCGUC
This 487-nucleotide ribosomal RNA is filed under the name Rhodococcus sp. NAU-1. RNAcentral describes it as "bacterial SSU rRNA". It matches the Rfam family "Bacterial small subunit ribosomal RNA", at positions 87 to 589 of the family's 1533-position model. The record is from RNAcentral. Lineage: Bacteria; Bacillati; Actinomycetota; Actinomycetes; Mycobacteriales; Nocardiaceae.